GAUGAAGAACGCAGCGAAAUGCGAUAAGUAAUGUGAAUUGCAGAAUUCAGUGAAUCAUCGAAUCUUUGAACGCACAUUGCGCCCGCUAGUAUUCUGGCGGGCAUGCCUGUUCGAGCGUCAUUUCAACCAUCAAGCCCCAGGCUUGUGUUGGGGGCCUGCGGCUGCCGCAGCCCCUGAAAAGCAGUGGCGGGCUCGCUGUCAUUCCGAGCGCAGUAGUUACAUCUCGCUCCGGGCGUGGCGGUGGGCACCUGCCGUGAAACACUCCUUCUAAGGUUGACCUCGGAUCAGGUAGGAAUAUCCGCUGAACUUAAGCAUAUCAAUAAGCGGAGGA
This 331-nucleotide unclassified non-coding RNA is filed under the name soil metagenome. RNAcentral's name for it is "partial contains 5.8S ribosomal RNA, internal transcribed spacer 2, and large subunit ribosomal RNA". The stretch from base 1 to 120 matches the Rfam family "5.8S ribosomal RNA", at positions 35 to 154 of the family's 154-position model. The record is from RNAcentral.